This is an RNA transcript of Gopherus evgoodei (Goodes thornscrub tortoise), 6455 nucleotides long. It is a transcript of the gene named leucine rich repeat and Ig domain containing 3, with no coding region annotated. Lineage: Eukaryota; Metazoa; Chordata; Testudines; Testudinidae. The transcript has 4 exons. The record is from RefSeq and is a predicted model, not a curated record.
AGUGCCCAUGGAGACACCGAGGCUCUGUCCAGGAAUGUGCUGGCUGGCCAGCCUGCUGCUCCCACAGCUCCUUGACAGCGCUGAGCCUCUCAGACACAGAUCUCACACUCACACUCACGCUGCCUGGUAAUGAAGCGAUCUGGGGCGCAAACGCCCCAUCAGCGUCUCCAGAGGGUAACAAGAAAGAACAGGUGUGUCUGCCAUUUUCCAGCCUAGUUACCAUCUCCACAAGAUGCAUGGGAGAAUGGUAGAGUGACCAUAAGAUCAUGCUCUACACGAUGACAUGUUGGCUUCCAGUCCUGGGCCUCCAUUGGAUUCUUCUGAGCACAGCCCCCAUGGAGGCCUGCCCGGCACGCUGCGAGUGCGCUCCUCAGAUCAAGUCCGUGGUGUGUCAUCGCAAACGCCUCACCUCCAUCCCCGAGGGGAUCCCCACUGAGACCAAGAUCCUGGAGCUCAGCAAGAACCGGAUCCGCUGCCUGAACCCAGGGGACCUGUCCCCUUACCCUUUGCUGGAGGAACUCAAUUUAAGUGAGAACAUCAUCGUCAGUGUGGAGCCUGGAGCCUUCAGCAACCUGUUUCACCUUCAGAUCUUGCGGCUCCGAGGCAACCAGCUCAAGCUGAUCCCUUCUGGAGUCUUCACCAAGCUGACCAAUCUCACCCUCCUGGACAUCAGCGAGAACAAAAUAGUCAUCCUGCUGGACUAUAUGUUCCAGGACCUGAGGAACCUGAAGAACCUGGAGGUGGGAGACAAUGACUUGGUGUACAUCUCCCAACGGGCUUUCUCUGGCCUCCUAGGCCUGGAGCGGCUGACCAUAGAGAAAUGCAACCUGACGGCCAUCUCGGCCGAAUCCCUUUCCUACCUCCAAAACUUGGAGGUCCUGCGGCUCCGACACCUCAGCAUCUCCACGGUGGAAGAUGGGAACUUCAGGAAGCUCUACAAUCUCCUGCAACUGGAGAUCGACAACUGGCCGCUGCUGGAGGACAUCUCGCCCACCAGCUUCCAGGGCCUAAACCUCACGUCGCUUUCCAUCACCUACACCAACAUCACGGCAGUGCCCACGGCUGCCAUGAGGAACUUGGUGUACCUCAUGUUCCUGAAUUUGUCUUAUAACCCCAUCAGCACUGUGCCCAAGGGCUCCUUCAAGGACCUCAUCAGGCUGCGAGAGCUCCACAUGGUGGGUGCCUCCUUGGUCUCCGUGGAGCCUCAAGCGUUCUCUGGCUUGAGGCAAAUCCGCCUCCUCAACCUCUCCAACAAUUUCCUCUCCACCCUGGAAGAAAGCACCUUCCAUUCAGUGAACACGCUGGAGACGCUGCGUGUGGACAGGAACCCACUGGCCUGCGACUGCCGCCUCCUCUGGAUCCUACAGCGCCGCAAGACGCUGAACUUCGAUGGGCAGCAGCCCAUGUGCUCUUCACCCCCUGAGAUCCAGGGCAACGCCCUGCGUGACUUCCCAGACUCCAUACUCUUUGAGUACUUCACCUGCCAAAAGCCCAAAAUCAGGGACCGAAAGUUGCAGCACAUAACUGCCCGUGAAGGGCAAUCUGUCUCCUUCUUCUGCCGUGCAGACGGAGAGCCCAUUCCUGCCAUCAUUUGGGUCUCCCCUCAGCACAGGAUGAUCACCACCAAGAGCACUGGGAGAGCCACCGUCCUGCCCGGGGGCACGUUGGAAAUCCGCUUUGCCCAGGUCCAAGACAGUGGCACCUACAUUUGCAUCGCCAGCAAUGCCGGAGGCAAUGACACCUAUUUUGCCACCUUGACAGUCAAGGGGCAUCCCGUGGACGGCUCCCUUUAUGCAAACCGGACCUUGUACCUCAGCGAGUUCAACGACACCUUCCACAACAACACACAAGUCUUCUUAAAGUUUACACUGGACCUCAAGACCAUCCUGGUCUCCACGGCCAUGGGCUGCAUCACCUUCCUUGGGGUCGUGCUCUUCUGCUUCCUGCUCCUCUUUGUGUGGAGCCGGGGGCGGGGACAGCACAAAAACAACUUCACCGUGGAAUAUUCCUUCCGCAAAGUGGAUGGCCCCACCACCACUGCCGGGCAGGGCAGCGCCAGGAAGUUCAACAUGAAGAUGAUCUGAGUGGCUCCAAGAGGAGGGUGGUUCCUAGUCCAAUGCCUGCCGCCAAAUGGGGCCCUCCAAGGGCCAGGCAGGGGGUUGAAGCAUCCUUCCUUUGUUUUCCAAGUGAGCACUUCAUCUCCUCAGGUGGCUGCGCUUCCCUGAGGGUCGAGGCAGUAAAACUCAUGGCGGAACCUAGCUGGGACAUUGGCUCGAUUUGACCACAAGGGCUUGGAAGCAACUGGGAGGAGCGAGUGUUUUUCCUCAUUGGUCUUGCCACACAACUGAACUGGGGAGAAGCAUCACUGGAAAUGGCCCCAGGUGCCUCCCGGCGGCUUAUUCUCAUUUCUGAGCACACUCCCUUUCUUUGAGCUGUGAGGACCCCCCCCACGCCCAGGUCCCAGAGGACAAGAGGGGGCCAAGGAGGCAUGCACAGCCCUUGUGGGUCAGGGCCUCACAAUGGAGCUAAAAUUCUUUUGUAUCAACUAUGCAUUUUUCAGACCAUGAGCAAGCAGUGUCUGGGCCCGGAGAACCGGCUUCCUUUUUUAAGAGACGAUCUGGAAUCCUUUGUCGGUUGUUGUUUAUGGUUCGUUUUUAAUUUGUUGUUUGUUUGUUUUUUUUAAUGAAUUUCCAACAGAAGUCUUCCUGUGCGACAAAGGACUAACCCACAGCGCAGAGCGAGGGCACACAUGCUCCAACCGGCCUGGGCAGCUCGAUCCAACACAGGGGAAGUGCUGUGCCUUGGAUGAGUUCCUCUCAGCAUUUGGAAGAAGGGGAAGCCUCUGAAGCUUGCAAACCCCAGCGCCCGGGGAGGGAUCCUCCUGCACAAGCAAUAAUAACCCAACCUGACAGUCCCUUCCGGGCGUACGGGUCUGUGCAGGCAUGAAUGCCACCCCAUUGGCGCUGAGCGGUAUUUCACCAAAGCACAUGGGCGUUCAAAGCCAGAGAACAGGCUGCUGGUUGUGGCGGCAGGAGAAACAGGAAGUGCAGCCCCUGUGAGUUACAGCCAGGCCUCUGAAGGCUCAGAGCCUCAUUAGCUGGCCCACUUGUAUGUGUCUGACUCAGCUGACGCUCUCCUGGGCUACAUCGGGCUGUCUUGUGCAUUCGCAGUGGCUACCUGCUUUUAGGCUGGGCCUGGCAGCAAAUUCUGCCAUGGUGGCAGGAGGCUGGGAGCUCUUACGGGGGGAAAGCCCGUCCCUACAUCUCGAGAGGCGCAGAGGAAAUCUCCACGGUAAAAAAUGACACCAGACUGCGACCCUCGCUGCUGCUGGCCUCUCCGAUUUUGUCUGUGAUUCCUGGCCAGAAAGGAUCCACCACGCAGCACAGCCAAUGGUUGCUCUCGUCCAUGCUCACUGAGGGAAGAGGGGAUGGAGGACUGGAGCUCUGCUCUUCAUCUGUUUUUAAAUCAUGUCAUUUCCACCCCCCCUUCCUUUUUUUUUUUUUGAAAAAAUGGAAGCAUAAAGAAGUCAAAUCUCUUAGAGCAAAUUUGCACACCUGGGUACUCCCCACUGAGUACAACCUCGAAGCCAGAGGCUGUGCCUUGCACUGGGGAAUCUCAGCUCCCGCUGCUGCUGCAGAUGCAGCACUACAACUCAUCUAGCCCAUUAUACGUGCGUUGCAGUGUGCAGACCUUGCACAAUCAUUUUCACAAGCAUGGGCCCGUGCAAACUGUUCCUAAGGGCAGCAGGAGUCACUGUGAACGGGACAGGGGGGAGGGGUCAGGCGCCCUGGGGUGUUGGUGGGUGACCUUGGUGAAUGCAUGUCCCCUCUGUAUAUGUGUGUCAGUUCUGCAUCUGUGAUCCAGGGAUUGUGACAACCUAUCCGGGGUGUGUGGGAGAAGCAGAACCUCGUGCAUGUUUUGGAACGAAUUUUGUAAUGGCUCUUGGAGAAAACCAAAGAUCGUGGCUUGUCUGUGCCUUGCGGGCACUCCUCGAGACAGCGCCUCCGUCCAGGAGCUGACGUGCGACGUGGUGUUAUCGCUAUGUUCAGCCCCAUGAACGGCUCCUGGAGGAGGUGUUAACAAAGCCCAUGAUAAAUUGUAGGCAUAAAUAUACAUGGAAAUUGUAGGCAUAAAUAUACAUGCAAAUUAACACACGUGUGUGGCAUACAGUACCAGCCCCGUGCGAGUGCCUGCUCCUGUCCCUGCUGCUCUGUACCAAGGCCCUCAGGAGACUCUAUCCUCCCCCCGCCCACCAUCACAGACUUGCUCUGCGAACAUUCACACAAGAGAUGUGGGUUUCUUGGCUCCCCUGGUGGAUUAAAACAAGUCUUGGAUGCUGAGGUGCCCCCAGGAAGGGGCCUGGGAGGCCUGAUGCCCUCUGUCCUGGGGCAGGUGGGCGGCUUUUUGCCCCCCUCCUUUGUUUUCACUGGUUUUUUCCUCUCCCCUUUCUCUUAAGCCCUUAUGUGUUUUCUCCCCCUCUCUUCAGUCUGGGUGCUGCAUCCCCUCAGGCAGCGGCAGCAGGGCUAGUCCAUGCCACACACACUUGCCCGGCAGCGGCUACCCCAGCUGAAAGGCCUGGGAGUGGGAAGGCAGCUUUCCUGACUGACUCAGACCCUCCCACCCAGACAUGCUGGCCUGGGGGUGGUGCACCUGGAGUGGAUCAGGGUGAGCAGCAGACCCCGGAGCUGCGUGCCCAGGGGCACAGGGACCCUGCCCGGAUGUUAUUUUGCGAACGUGUUCUAGGCACAAGAGGUUUGACAAUUUAAUCCUAAAAGGCCAUAGAGACACAGGGCCAGAUUCCUUUCUGGAUGAAAUCCACUGGCCUCAGUGAAGUUACAGCCGAGAUGAAUCUGCCCAUUAACAGAGCCCACGCAGACAAUAUUAUGGAACCCACAAGGGUCACAACAAAGAGUGAGGUCAAGCCAAAGAAUCAAACUGCCUGACUGGUUCAUCGGAGACACUGAGAUCAGAGAUGGACAAGACCUUGUCUGUCUCCUGCACCCUGUGGGCUAACGGGUCUCCUCUCCAAAGUAAUGUGGCUUCUGUCCCCUGCCUGGGGACCCUGUGUGUUCCCCACUGCUCACCCUGUGUCCCAUUCCACCCUGCCACUCCCAGUGCUGCCCUAGGGUGAGGAAGGUCAGGAACAGGAACCAGCCCUGAAGAGCACCCGCAAACAUCUGGGAAGGCAGCCAUGACUAGGACCUGAAAAGCGAUGGGCAUAUGGGGGACUGUGCCGCAAUCCAGCAGUUGCUCUGUGGGUCCAUGUCCCUCCCCAAUGCCUUCAGUCCUCGGAGACUGGGACAUCAGCAUCAGACCCUCCCAGAGGCGAGCGGGAUCCACCUUCAGAUUCUCCCGAAUGACUUACCCCGUUAGAAAUUAAAUAUUCCACCUCGGUAUGUGACGCUUUGUCAUUGUCCCUCUCUGAGGCUUGCCCUGACACCAGGGGAAGCCCACAUCUCUACUGUGUCCAUAUGGCCGGUAGCCAGUUAGCAAAGAGGCAACCCACAGAGCAGGGGUGGGUGGUGUCUUUCUUCAGCUGCCACCACAAUGGCAUGGAACUGGUUAGGGGGAUCAUCCCCAGUUACAACCAGAAGCCCCCACCCGCCUCGUAGCCACAUCACCCCCUACUCAGCCGCUGCCUGCAGGCUCCCAGGCACCCGAGAUGCCGGUGCGCCCAUUUGAGAGGUUCCAGUGCCCAGCCUGGAUUGAGAAGCCAGAAACGUGGGGCAGGGAGGGAAUUCUGUCCCAGAUUGGACUGGGACUGACUAGCAGAAGACAUGAAUGAGCUGGAUGUGUGAUGCAGCUGCAAAGGGGCACAUAUGACCCAGGCUACCACAGCGAGUGGGAGCCCCUCGAUCCAUUUCCCCUGGCCAUGACACCUGGUCACACCCGCAGCCCCAACGGCCAAAUUGCAGGCAGCAGCACCCAGAUACCAACAGACCCAUGUCACAGUGACAAGCAGAACAGUGGGGCUGACCCCACACCCACACUGGAUUGGGGGUAGCGCCCAAACGUUGUGGCUCGAGUCCCUCUCUGCAAUGGUCUAAUGAGAACCUCCCACACAAACAGCCCCAAGCUGUGACAUUCAGUUCCUACGCCACAGCUGCCCACCUGACCUCUGAUGCCAACACGGCUUUCUUUCCUUGGCCCCUUCUUCUGGUCAGCACUAGUCAGCCCCUGCUGAAAAUGCCAACUUGUCUGCCAUUGGGCUGCCAGCUGCUGGUAGCCGCCUGCAAGCUUUUCCUCCCCACCACUGCACCCUCCUCCAGCCCAGAGCCCCUUCGCACGCUCAUCUGACACCCCCCGCCCCGCCACACCAGAGAGCUAUGCAUGCCACGUUGUGUCAGGAGUCCAUGUUCAGUGGCUGGGGCUUUUAGGGGAUGGGAUGAAAACCUAAGCGCUGAGCAGCUCCGGAUGGGUCCUAUGGAAGGCCUUGUGCACAUGGAUCAGGCACC